RNAcentral lists this ribosomal RNA (271 nucleotides) under uncultured prokaryote. RNAcentral describes it as "partial 16S ribosomal RNA". It matches the Rfam family "Bacterial small subunit ribosomal RNA", at positions 524 to 794 of the family's 1533-position model. The record is from RNAcentral.
UACGUAGGUGGCAAGCGUUGUCCGGAUUUACUGGGUGUAAAGGGGGCGCAGGCGGGAAGCUAAGUUGGAUGUGAAAUACCGGGGCUCAACUCCGGAGCUGCAUCCAAAACUGGUUUUCUUGAGUGGAGUAGAGGCAAGCGGAAUUCCGAGUGUAGCGGUGAAAUGCGUAGAUAUUCGGAGGAACACCAGUGGCGAAGGCGGCUUGCUGGGCUCUAACUGACGCUGAGGCGCGAAAGUGUGGGGAGCAAACAGGAUUAGAUACCCUGGUAGU